AGUCGAACGAUGACCCGGUGCUUGCACCGGUGAUUAGUGGCGAACGGGUGAGUAACACGUGAGUAACCUGCCCUUGACUCUGGGAUAAGCCUGGGAAACUGGGUCUAAUACCGGAUAUGACCUUCCAUCGCAUGGUGGUUGGUGGAAAGCUUUUGUGGUUUUGGAUGGACUCGCGGCCUAUCAGCUUGUUGGUGAGGUAAUGGCUUACCAAGGCGACGACGGGUAGCCGGCCUGAGAGGGUGACCGGCCACACUGGGACUGAGACACGGCCCAGACUCCUACGGGAGGCAGCAGUGGGGAAUAUUGCACAAUGGGCGCAAGCCUGAUGCAGCGACGCCGCGUGAGGGAUGACGGCCUUCGGGUUGUAAACCUCUUUCAGUAGGGAAGAAGCGAAAGUGACGGUACCUGCAGAAGAAGCGCCGGCUAACUACGUGCCAGCAGCCGCGGUAAUACGUAGGGCGCAAGCGUUAUCCGGAAUUAUUGGGCGUAAAGAGCUCGUAGGCGGUUUGUCGCGUCUGCCGUGAAAGUCCGGGGCUCAACUCCGGAUCUGCGGUGGGUACGGGCAGACUAGAGUGAUGUAGGGGAGACUGGAAUUCCUGGUGUAGCGGUGAAAUGCGCAGAUAUCAGGAGGAACACCGAUGGCGAAGGCAGGUCUCUGGGCAUUAACUGACGCUGAGGAGCGAAAGCAUGGGGAGCGAACAGGAUUAGAUACCCUG
RNAcentral lists this ribosomal RNA (716 nucleotides) under Pseudarthrobacter phenanthrenivorans. Its description in RNAcentral is "bacterial SSU rRNA". It matches the Rfam family "Bacterial small subunit ribosomal RNA", at positions 60 to 789 of the family's 1533-position model. Lineage: Bacteria; Bacillati; Actinomycetota; Actinomycetes; Micrococcales; Micrococcaceae. The record is from RNAcentral.